Molecule: ribosomal RNA, 405 nt
Filed under: uncultured bacterium
Lineage: Bacteria
Description: bacterial SSU rRNA
Rfam family: Bacterial small subunit ribosomal RNA
Source: RNAcentral
AGGUCUUGACAUACCAUUGACCGUUCUAGAGAUAGGAUUUUCCCUUCGGGGACAAUGGAUACAGGUGGUGCAUGGUUGUCGUCAGCUCGUGUCGUGAGAUGUUGGGUUAAGUCCCGCAACGAGCGCAACCCCUGUCGUUAGUUGCCAGCAUUCAGUUGGGGACUCUAACGAGACUGCCAGUGACAAACUGGAGGAAGGUGGGGAUGACGUCAAAUCAUCAUGCCCCUUAUGACCUGGGCUACACACGUGCUACAAUGGUUGGUACAAAGAGAAGCGAAGCGGUGACGUGGAGCAAACCUCAUAAAGCCAAUCUCAGUUCGGAUUGUAGGCUGCAACUCGCCUACAUGAAGUUGGAAUCGCUAGUAAUCGCGAAUCAGAAUGUCGCGGUGAAUACGUUCCCGGGUC